CAUUACAGCUGCUCCCCAUCACCACUGUGGCUGUGAUAUUAAAAGGAUUAGAGCAUUUGAAAAAUAUGCCUACAUGCAGCCUGUGCCAUCUGCAAAUAAUUAGGAAUAAAUAUAGAAAGUUUAAUCGUGAAAUUGCACGUAUGUUUGUUUGCAGUACCCACAGCUCUGAGGGUGAACGGGCCAACAAAUGGUCUGGGUGUUGAUGGACGUCCUCCGUUACUAAGUCCCUCACAGGUCUCCAUAGGGCCUCAAAGUCGAGGCUAUCGUUCUUCUGAUUUAGGAGACAGUACCUUAUCAUCCGUCAUGAAUUCAGGCCCUCCAAAGAAGCGUCACAGGAGCUGGCACCCCAACUCCGCUAUUCCUGUCCCACCAACAGCAGUACCAGUUCCAGCCAUCAGGCCCAUUGUUUGUACCCCAGGUCGGCUGCUAAACUCUUUAAAGCAUUCUGCAAAACAAAAA
Molecule: long non-coding RNA, 459 nt
Organism: Cynoglossus semilaevis (tongue sole)
Lineage: Eukaryota; Metazoa; Chordata; Actinopteri; Pleuronectiformes; Cynoglossidae
Exons: 2
Source: RefSeq, a predicted model, not a curated record